GUCGAGAAUCUUCCGCAAUGCGCGCAAGCGUGACGGAGCGACGCCGCGUGGGCGAUGAAGGCCUUCGGGUUGUAAAGCCCUGUUAGCUACUAUGAAACGCGGGUGGUGAACAAUCAUCCCGCUUGACAAAAGUGGCAAAGAAAGCACCGGCUAACUACGUGCCAGCAGCCGCGGUAAUACGUAGGGUGCAAACGUUGUUCGGAAUCACUGGGCAUAAAGGGCGCGUAGGCGGUCUGGCAAGUCAUGCGUGAAAUCCCCCGGCUUAACCGGGGAACUGCACAUGAAACUGCUGGGCUAGAGUGCAGGAGGGGAGAGCGGAAUUCCUGGUGGAGCGGUGAAAUGCGUAGAUAUCAGGAGGAACGCCGGUGGCGAAAGCGACUCUCUGGCCUGUUACUGACGCUGAGGCGCGAAAGCUAGGGGAGCAAACGGGAUUAGAAACCCUAGUAGUCC
RNAcentral lists this ribosomal RNA (450 nucleotides) under uncultured bacterium. Its description in RNAcentral is "bacterial SSU rRNA". It matches the Rfam family "Bacterial small subunit ribosomal RNA", at positions 354 to 796 of the family's 1533-position model. The record is from RNAcentral.